AUUGAACGCUGGCGGCAUGCCUAACACAUGCAAGUCGAACGGGGGCAGCAAUGCCCUAGUGGCGGACGGGUGAGGAAUACGUAGGAACCGGCCCACGAGUGGGGGACAACCUGGGGAAACCCAGGCUAAUACCGCAUACGCUCGCGAGAGGAAAGCGGGGGGACCUUCGGGCCUCGCGCUGGUGGACGGGCCUACGUCCGAUUAGCUUGUUGGUGGGGUAAAAGCCUACCAAGGCGACGAUCGGUAGCUGGUCUGAGAGGAUGAUCAGCCACACUGGGACUGAGACACGGCCCAGACUCCUACGGGAGGCAGCAGUGGGGAAUAUUGGACAAUGGGCGCAAGCCUGAUCCAGCAAUGCCGCGUGGGUGAAGAAGGCCUGCGGGUUGUAAAGCCCUUUAAGCGGGGAGGAAAGCCGGGGGGUGAAUAGCGCCUCGGGGUGACGUUACCCGCAGAAUAAGCACCGGCUAACUCCGUGCCAGCAGCCGCGGUAAU
RNAcentral lists this ribosomal RNA (492 nucleotides) under uncultured bacterium. RNAcentral describes it as "bacterial SSU rRNA". It matches the Rfam family "Bacterial small subunit ribosomal RNA", at positions 29 to 524 of the family's 1533-position model. The record is from RNAcentral.